AUACUAAAAAUAACAAUAAUUACGAAAACUGCCACCGGCAUUUCUCUCUCUCUCCCCACCUUCCGUUACCCAAGCUCAUCUAACCCUUAUUCGAAUCCCUCGACCCUUACCAAAAUGUCUCUCUCUCUCUCUCUCUCAAAUUCUCUGCAUCUGGAUUAUCUAUCCGUUUGCGAAGCUCAUAAAUCGAUGGCUUCUUCGUCCUUGAGACUUUCGUCGACAACAACGGCAGCGACGACGGUGAACAAUGGCGAAGCUGGAAGUUCCAAGAGGCAACAACUCCAUCCCGCUCGGUAAACGAAGUCGUCUGUUCGAUCCAAGCCGGCGUCUUCCUCAACUUCAUGACUGAAAGAGGAGGAGGCGUUAUUGUUGAGCAUGGAGGCUUCUACAGCGGAUUCUGAGGUCGUUGACGUGGAGGGGACCAUGGUCACAGCGGUAGGCUUCGCUGCUGGGCCUGAGAGAAUCAUGAAGAUCAUGUCGGUUAGAGGACUCGCUUCUUCUGGUAAGUAACGAUCUCUCGCUCAUAUCGUGGUCAUAGAAAUCUUAGUUGUUGUUCGUAGUUGAACGAUUGCUAAUUCAAUUGAAUUUUGGUUGAAGAAACCCUAGAUUAUCAUGAUUGAUUGCUAGGCGUUUAGUUUUGUAUGGCUGAGAUGAAGCAAUUGGCAACAGUUUUGUGAAUUUGGAAUCUGAAUACUAUAGUGUUUGAUGUGAAUGUUAGACGUGGAACCUGCUUCGCAUUGCUAUAUUCAAUAUCACUGGGUAUGAUUAGAAUUUGCUAUCUUGUUGAUUUUUGCAUUGUACAUAGGUUUUACUGUUAGUGAGUAAUAUGUAUAAUGAUGAAGCUUUAGAUUUUUACUGUUAGUGAGUAAUAUGUAUAAUGAUGAAGCUUUAGAUUGUUAUUUAGUGUAGAGAAACCUUAGAUGCUAUUGAUUUGUUAAAAUUGAUUUUGAGGCCAAUGAUAAUGAUGCAAAACUUGAACAACAAAGAACAGAGAUUUGGGGAGUGGUCUUCCUGGCACCCAUUAUCUUGUUGGUGCUUGUUCAAUGGUUAUAGGAUUAAUGAAACAUUGGAUUUAGUGGCAGUUCCUUGCAUGCCCAAUUUCGUUGAAAUUAGAUUAUCAACAUAUAGGCUAUUCUUUAUUAGUUUUGUUUUUAUGUACCUUUUCUUUUCAAAAGAUUUUAUGCAUUCUCACUAAUCUCAUUCUGUCUUGAUUACCCAUCCAUAUGUGUACUUGUAAUUCUCCCUUACUGAUUCUGAGACCGAGAUUGAAGCCUCUCGAGCUUUACAGUUACCUCCAGACCAAAGGCAAAAGCCACCUGCCCUUCCAAUCUACCUGCCCCUAAUUUGCCCUUGAUCGAUUGAUUGGGAUUUCGAUAUAUUGAUUCUGUAAUAUUGUUUCAGUUUUGUUACUUUGUGAUAUGGUAUAUGUGCAAUGGAAAAUCAAGAUUAUACUAUUUCAUUUACAGUUUUAGAUAUGCUUUCCAUUACUGAAAUACCUCAAAUGUGACACUAUUUGACCAUUCAUAGAUCUUAAACGGGAUUAAAUGUAUUGACAAGUUACCCAGCCAAGUGGAAUUUUGAUAUUUUUUGACAAAAUUUUCUUGCAGAAGAAAAGCAA
Molecule: long non-coding RNA, 1615 nt
Organism: Rosa chinensis
Lineage: Eukaryota; Viridiplantae; Streptophyta; Magnoliopsida; Rosales; Rosaceae
Exons: 2
Source: RefSeq, a predicted model, not a curated record